GCUUAACAAGUUCAUUUUCUCUGGCUUUAUUUUACGUUAUACUCUGAGUUACUAGCAAUGAGCUGCCUGAGAACCAGGAAGGUUCCUUUGAUCUCUGUGUACCUUCCAUGUAAUAUAGUGUCAGGCACAAACCAGGGUUUCAAAAGAAUAAAUAAUGAAAGAUCAACAAAUGAAUGUCAAACAAAGAAAAAUUAUUUUAAAUCCAGAACUACUUGCUAAAAUCAGCAGAAUUUCAAACUCUCUAACAAAAUGAAAUUGUUAUCAUUUUGUUAUUUUAAUAAUUUACAGCUAAAAGCAUCAGCAGCACUUUUGAAUGUGAAUGGUAAAUCCUGAAGACCAUGGAGAUCUUGAAACGUUUUAAUGGAUCAUUACCACCAUUCCUUCUGUCACUUAAAAACUUUAAAAAAUUUUUGUCUGCCCCAAAUGUUCUAAGAAGCAUGAAUGUUCCCUAUGCAUUGGACUUCCUAAACAUCAAAAAAUUAUCUGCUUCCCCAUCAACCAAUGAUUUUUUUCCAUUACCAAAUGAGAGUUCUAAAGGUCUACAAUGACGAGGAUAAAUCACUCCAAUUCUUUUACUCUAUUAAAGGAGAUAUUUUAUGUUCCACUGCCACAAAAAUCCAAGAUGCACACCAAAAAUAGCCUGUGAAUUGAAGACUCUCGUUUUAAAAUGGCACCACAAUUUAUCCUGUUCCUUACUGUACCAUGAGCAUUACAUUAUUCAUUAGAAGUACUUGUAUUUAAGCAGCUAUUAUACAGCUUUCACUGAGCACAGCCCUCCCAUUACAAGGUGGUGAUUUUGAGGGAUACCUUCCAGAGCUAAGGUCACUUUGUGGAAUUCCCAUGUAUGUGACCCCAGUGUGUUUGCAUACACAUGAAUUUGCUCUGUGACAUUCCUGUCAUGUUUGCUCAGUGAGCAAGUAAUUUGCUACUCUCAUUACUCAGGUACAAGGUACCCUGUGGAAAAUCAAUCUUCAUUUUGCUUCAUACAUCACAGCUUCCCCCAGACAUCCAGUGCAUUCUGACUCUGAAAUGAAGCUGUGAGAAUAAGACACAAAUCUGUAUCAGCAACAGUAUUGUCCAAAGGGGCUAAUGAAUGUUACACUUCACUGGGAAACUCCAUCUUGAGGCAGGAGAAAUGUCUAUACACAAAGCAAAGACACUGUUUUGUGCAAAGCAUUUCCUAUACCAGAGGGAGAGAAGUCUUAAUAGCAGAACAAACAAGUAGCUAAAGGGUGGUUAGUGAACAGUUUUGCAGAAAUAUUAAUCUACCAUCUCUUCAGGUCACAAAUCAUUUUCUCCACCUCUUGACAGGAUGAAGUUUGACUUUGAAAGACAAUCCAUUGCAGGAUCCUGACCAACCGUAAUAUGUCAAGCUUCUCCCCAGGGACAGAACCUACUCAUACCAGCAGAUGAAAUCAUUCUCAGUGUUUUCACUGGGGCCAAUUGCUGUUUUUUCAUCCACAUAUCCAACUCAACAUCAUAGCAUAAGUGCCAGUGGGAAAAAGAAGUGGAAAUAUUUUCAUUCUAUAACUAUCUUCAAAACCAAGAAAGGGUAAUCCACGGGAAUGUUUAUAGCAUACUGUGGCUCAAAUGUAUUUUAGAAAACCACUAAUUCAAAUAUCAACAAAUAUUUAUUGAAGACCUACUAUGUUCCAUUGUGGGAAUUAUGGAGAUAAAAUAAUUAACAAAAGAAACUAAGUCAUUCCCCCUCAUGAAAUUUAUGUUCCAGGAGAGAGAAAGUACAUGAAUAUUUAAAUAAACCAAUGUGACUAUUUCAAGUGUGCAUCAGGGCUAUGAAAAAAAUAAAAAUAAAAGAGAGCCAUGUGAUAGACAGUGAUGGAGAGGUAGAGGAUUCAAAGCAGUAUUAGAUAGGAUCAUAAAAAAGAUAUUAGCCAAAGGUACUAGCCAUGAGAAAUAAAAGUGAAGGAAAGCAUAUUCUGGGUGAAAAAAAAAAUAGAAAAAUAGUGAAAUAGAGAAGUCAGUAUGGCUUGAGUAGGUAAAUAUGAGUCAGAAAAGGGGUACUGGCAAGAAUGAGAUCUAGGAGGCCUUGAUGGCUAUAAUCAAGUGUUUGGGUUUAUUGAAAGUGCAGUGAAUGGCCAUUGGAAAGUGGAAGCGGUGGGAGCUGUAAAGCAAUAGAGCAAAUGACAUGAUCUCUUUUAAAAAAUGUGUUUGCAUAGAUAAAGAGUUGUAGUGGGUAGAUGCAGCAGAAUCAAGAGCAAUGGCGAGGAAGUUGGGGCCACGGCAGGGAAGUUAUGAUGAUGGCUUGACCUGGGAAGGUAUCAGCAGAGAUAAAGAAAAGCACACAUACUUGUGAUAUGUUUUGGGUAUAUAUACCUCAGGACUUGUCCAAAGAUUUGAUGAGAACAUAGUAUAGAGAAUAUUGGUGUCAUUAGUAAGUAAGGUGAGGGGAUGAAUAAUUAUCUUUUGGACAUAGAGAGUUUGAGAAAACAGAUGUACAAGAUGUUACUUAGGAAGUUGGGAGCACAAAUCUGGAGUUUAGGGAGAGGUAAAUUCUGGGGUACAUAGAUGAUGUUUAACUCCAAGUAUCCAAAUGAGCUCACCCAGGGUAAGAUUGCUAGGUGGAAUAUAGGACAGCAGCUAAAUAUGAAUUUCAGACACAAUGAGCAACUUUUUUGGCAUAAGCAUGUCCCAAAGAAUAGUGGAAUGUUCUUUAAGGGUAUAAACUUGCAACUAGUAGAUUAAAAGUCCUAGAGAUCUAAUGCACAAUAUAGUGUUUAUAAACAAUAGCGCUGUAUUAUAAAUAUCAAACUUGCUAAGGACUAGAUCUUAAGCAUUCCCACCACAAGAAAGAAAGAGUAAUUAUGUAAUGUGAUAGGGUGUUAGUUAAUGCUACAAUGGCAGUCUUAUUGCAAUAUAUAAAUUUAUCAAAUCAACAUGUUGUAUACCUUAAGCUUAUAUAAUAUUACAUGUCAAUUAUAUCUCUACAAAAGUAUGUCCCAAACAUUGUAUGAAACAUACUUAUACAAAGGUAUAUCCCAACAGUUAAUGUGAUAGAUAAUGCAUAGAAAGGAGGAAGGGAGGAAGGGAAAAGACAGCUACAUGUGUGUGUAUAUUACAUGGAACAUACGUCACUUAAAAAAAAAAGGGUACAUGAAAUUCAAAUAUAACUGGACAUCCUGUAUUUUUAAUUGCUGUAUCUGGCAACCCUCACUGAGGGUAAGAUUUUAAAUAGGAAAGACCAAGACCUAGUACACUCCAAGCUUUAGCAUUGGAACAGAGUGAGAGUUCAUAAGUGUUUCUAAGGAAACUUAGACAGAGAUGCCAGUCAGGAAAGUGUGCUGUCACGGGCACCAAGAGAAAAAAGACAUCCCCCAAAGAAAGAGACACCCAACUGAGACCAAAGUUUUGACUGUUGCCCAGAGAUUGAAUAAGAUGAGCUCAACAAAUAACUAUGACAGUGGACAGCAUGGAAGCAAGCCUUGGUCACCCUGAAAACAACAGCAACAGUGAGGUGGAAGGAACAGCAGACCUUUUGGAGUGGGAUAAAGAGAUGAAGAAGUGAAGACAGCGAAUGCAGAAAAAAGGGUAGGAGUUAUGGAUAGUUGUUGGAUAGGAAAUGGAGGAUAUGGUGUAUAUGUUGGUAAGAAUGAUCUGGCAGAGAAGGAAAAGUGGGCAACUCAGGAAUGAGAAGGGAAAAAUGGCAGGACCAAAACCCUGAAAAGAAAGGAGAUCCACAUGAUGAAUGGGUUGACUUACAGUAAUGGAAACAAUUCUUAGCAUUUUCAAAUAAAGAAGAUAGGGAAUGUGGAUGUGGUUUCCACUGGUUUCAAAUUUCAAAAAUGACUUCAUAGAAAUAUGUACAUAAAAUAGCCCUAUGUAUAGUUGAGUAUUUUUCCUAAAUUUUAGUUUGUUCAAAGUUAGCUAUUAUAAUUCACAUAAACAAAAGUAGACAUAUUCAAAAUAAGUUGCUUGUUUUAAGAUGAGUUGUUUCUUUCUUUUUUUUUUCUUUUCUUUUUUACUUUUUUUUUUUUUUUAAUUUUCUUUAGGGCUAUAUCUGUGGCAUAUGGAAAUUCCCAGGCUAGGGAUCAAAUUGGAGCUGCAGCUGCUAAGCUAUGCCACAGCCACAGCAACAUGGGAUCUGAGCUGUUUCUGUGACGUACUCCACAGCUCGUGGCAACACCAGAUCCUUAAUCCACUGAGUGGUGCCAAGGAUUGAACCCACAUUCUCAUGGACACUAGUUGGGUUUGUUACUGCUGAGCCACAAUAGGAACUCCCAAGAUGCUUUGAAUUUUUGUUAGAUAGUUGUUUAGGGGAAGAAAGGAGUUCACUUUUACUUUCCCAUAGUUGACUUUAUUUCUGUUUAAUAUGGGAAUUAUAAAAUAGUCUCCAAACUUUCAUAACAUCAAGGUUGAAGUUUUUCUAAAUGGAAAUCAGAUAUUCUUAAAUAGCAUUUCCCCUAACAAUAGCACCAUACCAUACAUCAUUAAGUAGGUAAGUUUUGCUAAUACAAAGUGAAAGCAAAUACUGCCAGACCCCAGAGAAACAAAGGUCAGUUGCUGUGGGAACAAUGCUUUGGACUUCUUGACCUUGGUGUGUAUUGCUUAAGAUAGAUAUUUGCAUUGCAUCUACUCCAAAAUAAAAAGAAGGUAUUCAAAAAUACAGCUAUAAAAGCAGCUCAAGCAGCAAAGAGACGGUGCUGCAUUGGGGCAACACAAAAAGAAACACUAGAGACAUUUUAAAAACAGAUAUAAUAUCUUUAGAACAUUUCUCUAAGCAUCAUUUUUCAGUUACCUCAGGUCCUGAUAUUUGUAAAUGAACACCAUUAUUUGCUCCAUAAUACAUCAUGUUCUUGUUAACAAAAGGAUGGUAGUCUGGCAAACACAAUUUUCUGAUUUAUUAAAGUUUCAUAGUAAGGAUUAUCUGUAUGGUUCCUGUUAUUUUUAAUACAAAGUUCACAGCUAAAACAAUCUCAUAUCCUUUCAAACAUUUAAAGGAAUAUAUCUCCUAUCCAUAUCCCACAUUUGAAGGUAAAGUGAUACUGCCUUUAGAACUGAUAAAGUGUAGGUGCAGAAAAGAAUUCUUAUUGUUAAACCAACUAACAUGUGGUUUUCUAUCAAUAACACUAUCCAGAUUAAACAGGCCUCUUUUUCAGCAUGGUUACAAUUUAAAAUUUCCACCUUCCCUGUAUUUGGAUAGUGUUUGUCUUAGAUUCUCUGUAUGAACACAACGAACACAAAUGGAUCAAAAUCUAAGCUUCAUAAGAGCAGAGGCCUUAUAUACCUUGCAGUGUCUGGUAUCCAACAGAGAGUCAGUAAAGGAUGGAUGGGUGGGUGGCCAAAGGGAAUAUGUAGAGAGGAUAUUAUGAUAUUUAUUAAGAAAGAUAAAAAAGAGAUCAUAAAUAUUUUCUUUCACUCUCAACACUUCUAUGUAACAUAAUAUUGGAAGUCAUAACCACAGCAGAAAGGAAGGAAGGAAGGAAGGAAGGAAGGAAGGAAGGAAGGAAGGAAGGAGGAAGGAAGGAAGGGAGAGGGAGAGAAAUAAAAGGUAUCCAAAAUGGAAGGGAAAAGAUUAAAUUGUCACUAUUUGCAAAUGACAAGAUAUUCUAUAUAGAGAAUCUUAAAGAGUCCACAGAAAAAUUGUUAGAAUUAAUAAAUGAAUUUAGCAAGGUAGCAGGACACAAGAGUAACACAGAGAAAUAUGUUGCAUUUCUUUACACUAACA
RNAcentral lists this long non-coding RNA (5683 nucleotides) under Sus scrofa (pig). RNAcentral's name for it is "lncRNA (ENSSSCG00000056440.1, ENSSSCG00110039629.1)". The record is from RNAcentral. Lineage: Eukaryota; Metazoa; Chordata; Mammalia; Artiodactyla; Suidae.